RNAcentral lists this ribosomal RNA (406 nucleotides) under uncultured bacterium. Its description in RNAcentral is "partial 16S ribosomal RNA". It matches the Rfam family "Bacterial small subunit ribosomal RNA", at positions 30 to 526 of the family's 1533-position model. The record is from RNAcentral.
AUUGAACGCUGGCGGCAGGCCUAACACAUGCAAGUCGAGCGAGCGGCGGACGGGUGAGUAAUGUCUGGGAAACUGCCUGAUGGAGGGGGAUAACUACUGGAAACGGUAGCUAAUACCGCAUACCAUCGGAUGUGCCCAGAUGGGAUUAGCUAGUCGGUGGGGUAAAGGCUCACCUAGGCGACGAUCCCUAUCUGGUCUGAGAGGAUGACCAGCCAGACUGGAACUGAGACACGGUCCAGACUCCUACGGGAGGAAGCAGUGGGGAAUAUUGGACAAUGGGCGAAAGCCGUAUGCAGCCAUGCCGCGUGUAUGAAGAAGGCCUUCGGGUUGUAAAGUACUUUCAGCGGGGAUGCGUUACCCGCAGAAGAAGCACCGGCUAACUACGUGCCAGCAGCCGCGGUAAUAC